Molecule: unclassified non-coding RNA, 350 nt
Filed under: fungal sp.
Lineage: Eukaryota; Fungi
Description: partial internal transcribed spacer region
Rfam family: Eukaryotic small subunit ribosomal RNA (bases 1-46)
Source: RNAcentral
AAGUCGUAACAAGGUAACCGUAGGUGAACCUGCGGUUGGAUCAUUAUCACGUGAAAAACGUAAUAUUAUUCUACCAACGCGAAUUUAUAAGGGUGACAAUUUUGACUAAAAUUACUUCGAAUUCAUUUUCGUUGCAAAUUUUGGUUGAUUUUUUCUUCCGCAAAUUAUUAAUUCUUUAUUGAAUUUUUAGUUUGAAAACCUUUGAUUAACAAUCAAAACAACCUUUUAUAACUUUUUAGUUACUGAAAUUAAAUUUGCGUUUUUUUCCAACUUUUUUGUUGUUAAAAAAUUCAAGUUUUUCAUUACGAAACAAAAUUGAACAACUCUUAGCAACGGAUAUCUAGGUUCUC